RNAcentral lists this ribosomal RNA (783 nucleotides) under uncultured archaeon. RNAcentral's name for it is "bacterial SSU rRNA". It matches the Rfam family "Archaeal small subunit ribosomal RNA", at positions 110 to 879 of the family's 1478-position model. The record is from RNAcentral.
CGCCCCGGUAAAGGAGCACCCCGGGAACUGGGGAUAAUUCCCGAUAGGUGAAGAUCCCUGGAAUGGGUUUUCGCCCAAAGGACGUUUAGGUCAUGCUUCUAGGCGUUGUUCAAGGAUGGGGCCGCGGCCGAUCAGGUUGUUGGUGAGGUAAUGGCUCACCAAGCCUUUGACCGGUUCGGGCCGUGGGAGCGGUAGCCCGGAGAUGGGCACUGAGACAAGGGCCCAGGCCCUACGGGGCGCAGCAGUCGCGAAAACUCCGCAAUGCGCGAAAGCGUGACGGGGCUACCCCGAGUGCCGUCCGCUGAGGAUGGCUUUUCCCCGGUGUAAUGAGCCGGGGGAAUAAGGAGAGGGCAAGUCUGGUGUCAGCCGCCGCGGUAAUACCAGCUCUCCGAGUGGUAGGGAUGAUUAUUGGGCUUAAAGCGUCCGUAGCCGGCUCAGCAAGUCUCCCGUUAAAUCCAGCGACCCAAUCGUUGGACUGCGGGAGAUACUGUUGGGCUAGGAGGCGGGAGAGGCCGGCGGUAUUCUCGGGGUAGGGGUGAAAUCCUAUAAUCCCGGGAGGACCACCAGUGGCGUAGGCUGUCGGCUAGAACGCGCUCGACGGUGAGGGACGAAAGCUGGGGGAGCGAACCGGAUUAGAUACCCGGGUAGUCCCAGCCGUAAACGAUGCGGGCUAGGUGUUAGGGUGGCUACGAGCCACCUUAGUGCCGCAGGGAAGCCAUUAAGCCCGCCGCCUGGGGAGUACGGCCGCAAGGCUGAAACUUAAAGGAAUUGGCGGGGGAGCAC